This is a long non-coding RNA of Mastomys coucha (southern multimammate mouse), 1079 nucleotides long. RefSeq lists it as uncharacterized. The transcript has 3 exons. NCBI's taxonomy places the organism in Eukaryota, Metazoa, Chordata, Mammalia, Rodentia, Muridae. The record is from RefSeq and is a predicted model, not a curated record.
ACGAGGUGGUGGUUAGGGUUGAAGAUCAUUUCAGGUAGUUUCAGGACAGGGUUCCCUAAGGAAGCCAUACUUAAAUCAAGCAUUCUAAGAUGGGAAGAGUCAGGAGAGGGUGUUCCACUUAAAGGAAAUAACAAAAGGAGUUUGUCCUGAAGCAGAAAGGGUUUUCAUGUUCAAGAAACAAGGCCGAGAGUGACCGCAGCUGUCCAUCCUAGUGAGAAGAUAAGGGGUCAGAAAACAGAAAGUGGAGAGACUGCUGGUCCUGAGCUCAAACAUGGCUUCGGGUUGCAUCUGAAAUGCGGUGGGGAAAGGCUUUGAACUGUGAAGCAGGGGACGAUCUGGCACAUGCUGUAAAGUCUCUUUCAGCCAUGGAAAACUUUGGGCCAUGGUAUGUUGCAGCCAGAAGGUCCUCACCAGAAGCCAAACGAAUGCUGGUACCAUGCUCUUGGACUUCCCAGAAUCAGGAACCAAAUACACCUCUGUCGCUUAUCAGUUACUCCAUCUGCUGUGUCAUGACAGCCACACAGAAUAGACUAAGACACUUGGUAACCCCAUGACAAACACAUGGAUGUCAAGAAGGCAUUCAAGGCCCGGGGCAACAGUGGUGUUCGUGCACGCACCAACCACCACGGAGCAAUAAACCCACUGAAGGCUGGCAAGGGAACCCAGAGUGUGUCAAGGAACCCAGAGCAGAGGUGGGCGAAGCCUCGCGAGAAUCACCAUAUCCUGUUUGAGCCUCGCCCGCUUCUUCACUGGGUUCCCAGUGACUCACAGGAUCCACUCACCGAACAUGCACAGAUGGCGCCAGGGACAGGGGAGAGCCACGCAGGGCUGUAAAUCUCAGCGGCGCUAAUCCAGUCAGCAUAUGCUUAAUUAGGCAAGGGUGUGUUGGACUUCCACGCACAGAUAAUUGAAAUCCGUUCAGGAGAUGACUGGUUUUUUGUGUUUUAGAACGAUGAAAUAUACAUGUCUGGAAUUUUUAUGCUCCACUUCAUUUUACAGAAAAUAAGUUUAACCACAAUGCUAAUCCUUCUGAUCCUGUCUAAUAAAAGUAUUUAUUGUGUCUUUUAUUGCAAAGGCAA